CCUUUGACUUUUUAAUUGUUCAAUAAAGGAUUU
This 33-nucleotide small RNA is filed under the name Drosophila erecta. Its description in RNAcentral is "GG26662". Lineage: Eukaryota; Metazoa; Arthropoda; Insecta; Diptera; Drosophilidae. The record is from RNAcentral.